GCUAUCGCCAAGCGGUAAGGCACAGGACUUUGACUCCUGCACUCGUGGGUUCGAAUCCCGCUAGC
This 65-nucleotide transfer RNA is filed under the name uncultured Ruminococcus sp. It matches the Rfam family "tRNA". Rfam says of the family: Transfer RNA (tRNA) molecules are approximately 80 nucleotides in length. The record is from RNAcentral. Lineage: Bacteria; Bacillati; Bacillota; Clostridia; Eubacteriales; Oscillospiraceae.